This 383-nucleotide ribosomal RNA is filed under the name uncultured Alphaproteobacteria bacterium. RNAcentral describes it as "bacterial SSU rRNA". It matches the Rfam family "Bacterial small subunit ribosomal RNA", at positions 9 to 414 of the family's 1533-position model. The record is from RNAcentral. Lineage: Bacteria; Pseudomonadati; Pseudomonadota; Alphaproteobacteria.
GAGUUUGAUCCUGGCUCAGAACGAACGCUGGCGGCAGGCCUAACACAUGCAAGUCGAGCGGUCGUAGCAAUACGACAGCGGCGCACGGGUGAGUAGCGCGUGGGAACCUGCCCUUUGGUUCGGAACAACCCUGGGAAACUAGGGCUAAUACCGGAUAAGCCUCCGCGAGGAGGGAAAGAUUUAUCGCCGAAGGAGGGGCCCGCGUCCGAUUAGCUAGUUGGUGGGGUAAUGGCCUACCAAGGCUGCGAUCGGUAGCCGGUCUGAGAGGACGAUCGGCCACACUGGGACUGAGACACGGCCCAGACUCCUACGGGAGGCAGCAGUGGGGAAUAUUGGACAAUGGGCGCAAGCCUGAUCCAGCCAUGCCGCGUGGGUGAAGAAGG